This is a non-coding RNA of Nerophis lumbriciformis (worm pipefish), 424 nucleotides long. NCBI's taxonomy places the organism in Eukaryota, Metazoa, Chordata, Actinopteri, Syngnathiformes, Syngnathidae. The record is from RefSeq and is a predicted model, not a curated record.
CCUCUCAGCAGCCAACACACCGACACACUGUUGAGAUGUAGUCUGAAUUUUUGCUGACUGCGCAUCAAAAUAUGGUUCAAAAAUGAAACAAAUUUACCCCUGAGGAAGCCGAAAGUGGAAGAGGAACAAGAACGAGAGAGAGAAGAAACAACAAAAGACCGCACGGCUGUGAUGAUGAGGAUAAUGAGCGUCACCACGGCGAUUGGCGCCAACACUGCGGCGAUGAUCCAAAGAUAUCCCCCAUCCUUCCCUAUCCCUGUGGACGAGUCCAUCAUACCUGGACAGUGUAGCUGCCUACAGCAGUCGCUCGUCUGAAUCGAGUGCCUUGCUGGCCUGCCAACACAAACAACUCUGCAAGUCGCUGCUCCAUCAAACUGGCAAAGCUUUGGUGCAGUCCCUCCAGGCUGUCGUUAUCCACAUCCUG